GACGAACGCUGGCGGCGUGCUUAACACAUGCAAGUCGAACGGAAAGGCCUUGCUUGCAGGGUACUCGAGUGUCGAACGGGUGAGUAACACGAGGGUGAUCUGCCCUUCACUUCGGGAUAAGCCUGGGAAACUGGGUCUAAUACCGGUUAGGAGCCCGUUUUAGUGUGAUGGUUGGAAAGUUUUUUCGGUGUAGGAUGAGCUGUCGGCCUAUCAGCUUGUUGGUGGGUUAGUGGCCUACCAAGGCGGCGAGGGGUAGCCGGCAUGAGAGGGUGGACAGGCACAAUGGGCCUGAGGGACGGCCCAGUGUGCAACGGGAGGCAGCGGUGGGGAGUAUUGCAGAAUGAGCGCGAGCCUGAGGCGGCGACGCCGCGUGGGGGAAGACGUGCUUCGGGUUGUGAACGCCUUUCGCUAGAGAAGAAACAUUUUGUGACGGUACCUAAAUAAGAAGCACCGGCUAACUACGUG
This 465-nucleotide ribosomal RNA is filed under the name uncultured bacterium. Its description in RNAcentral is "partial 16S ribosomal RNA". It matches the Rfam family "Bacterial small subunit ribosomal RNA", at positions 28 to 507 of the family's 1533-position model. The record is from RNAcentral.